RNAcentral lists this long non-coding RNA (808 nucleotides) under Mytilus galloprovincialis (Mediterranean mussel). Lineage: Eukaryota; Metazoa; Mollusca; Bivalvia; Mytilida; Mytilidae. The record is from RNAcentral.
CCCGUGUUUAAGUGUAUUUGAAAGAGAAAUAUAUCUGGUUAAACGAUGUAUAAAGGAGAAAUAUAUCUGGUUAAACGAUGUAUAAAGGAGGAAAAAUUGUAGAUAUUGCAUUACGAUGCUUUCUACCUAAUAGCACGUGGAUAUGUUUACAUAGUUAGACUUGACCCAGUAUGACCCGUACCUUGUAGGUCACCGCCGUCGUUUAAACACUAGACUACAGUCGUGUACAAGACAAUAAAAUGCUUAGGCCUGUACUAUUUGUGUGAAGUAAAUGUGUUUGUUCUGUACAUUUAAAUUGUUUUACCUGAUAGCAAGGACGUAUAUCUAUCCGUUUCCUUCUCAAUUCACUUUGUCAAAUUCUUCGAGAUUCUUCAAAACAUACGUAUUACUGCGCCCGGAAGUGAAAAAAAUAUGAGAAAUCCUCUUAAAAUAAUGCUAUUUUCAAUUUUGUGGAAUCCAUUUUGUUAUAUUUAUUAUAAAAAGAUAAAAAAAAAUUACCGAUUAAUUAUGAAUUUGCAUAUCAUUAUACGGAACGUUUAUGGACUAUUUUUCCAUAGCUGUAAGUCGGUCAUUUUGGCGGGAAAUCAUGUACACAUACACACGUAGAUUGGCUGGUACCCGAUCGUAAUGUUACACAUCACAAAUAUCAAAUAGCUAAUACCCGGAACGUAGUACCGGGAACCAGGAUAAUACGUAGACAACAUACAUAACUAAUACCGAAAUUGAAAACGCUUUACGGUUUCUCGUUCAUAAACCGAAUUCCGCUUUGAAUUAUAGAAGAUGCAAUAUGAAUCAUGUUCAGUCGACU